UCCAACUUAACGUUGGCAGUCUCCUUAGAGUGCCCAACUUAAUGCUGGCAACUAAGGACAAGGGUUGCGCUCGUUGCGGGACUUAACCCAACAUCUCACGACACGAGCUGACGACAGCCAUGCAGCACCUGUCUCUUUGUCCCUUUCGGGCCUGUAAUAUCUCUACUACAUUCAAAGGAUGCCAAACCCAGGUAAGGUUUUUCGCGUUGCAUCGAAUUAAACCACAUUCUCCACCGCUUGUGCGGGCCCCCGUCAAUUUCUUUGAGUUUUAAUCUUGCGACCGUACUCCCCAGGCGGGAUACUUAACGCGUUAGCUGCGGCACUGAAGGGGUCAAUACCUUCAACACCAAGUAUCCAUCGUUUACGGCGUGGACUAC
RNAcentral lists this unclassified non-coding RNA (377 nucleotides) under uncultured Pseudobdellovibrionaceae bacterium. RNAcentral's name for it is "uncultured Bdellovibrionaceae bacterium contains 16S-23S intergenic spacer region". The record is from RNAcentral. Lineage: Bacteria; Pseudomonadati; Bdellovibrionota; Bdellovibrionia; Bdellovibrionales; Pseudobdellovibrionaceae.